CGGUCCUCAUUUAACCUACCUUAGAAAGGCUGAGUCGACCUUGAGCCUGGUGAGAUUCGAACCUGCAGAAAUUGCAGGCAGCUGUGUUAAUAACAGGGUGCAUUAAACCACUGUACUACCAAGGCUCCUGUUGAGUUGUUGAGUAAAUUGUUGAAUGAAUCCCUGUAGUUAAGAAAACGAUGGUGAAGUGAAUCUGGCUCCCCCAUUGACUUUGUCAGAAGUCACAAAAGGGGAAUCACAUGACUCCGGGGCACUGUGUCCUGAAUUUUGACCAUGGGGAUGCUGCAACAGUCGUUGUCCCAGGAAGUGGAGCAGCUCCAAAACCGAGUUGAGUAAUGAAUAAAUAAAUUGAAAUCUGGACCUAUGAACCCAAUCACAAAACCAGCAAAAUUAUCUAAUUUUGCUAAUAAGAUUUACAACAAAAUAAUCCGCCCUACUAACUUUAUCAAUGGCAAUUCCCAUUGAUCUGCUUUAUUCAAUACUUAGGACAGAUAGAAAUUUGAUUAAGGCCAUCGAUCAAAUGGGUUUUAAGGAUCUCAAGGGAAUUCACACCAUUGCAAAGUUACUUUUCUCAGCUUGUAAAACUGGCACCUUGAAAAUAGCCAUGUAGUGCAGCAAUUAUUGUCGCUUUUUAACCUUGAAUGCCAUGUUAUUUUGCAUGUUCCAUUUUAUGUAUUGUAUUUUGUAGGUUUGAUUUAAUGAAACUUUUUUAGACUGACCGGUAAUAAAAAUUUUGAUUUGAUCUGAAAGCACAUGAGAGCAAGAAAAUGGCCUUUGAUUCCUGGAGGCCUAAACGAUUUCUCUUUCAUUAGUUACUGAUCAUCACAAAAUGGUACAAGCAAUGUAUAAGAAAGGUAUCAAGGAAUAACGUUUUAACGGGGAGGUGCGUUCACACAACUUGCUGAACCACAGAGUACGGCAUGCUGUUCCGGUUCCAGUUUCUUCUUUGCAUCUCCUCUAUUGCUGAAAAAAAUGGAGAAGCUGUAUCUGAUCUUGAAGACGUGGGUCAUAAAUCUCUUUCCUUAGCCCU
Long non-coding RNA from Pantherophis guttatus, 1030 nucleotides. RefSeq lists it as uncharacterized. Lineage: Eukaryota; Metazoa; Chordata; Lepidosauria; Squamata; Colubridae. The record is from RefSeq and is a predicted model, not a curated record.